This 599-nucleotide long non-coding RNA is filed under the name Parus major (Great Tit). Its description in RNAcentral is "lncRNA (ENSPMJG00000013525.1)". Lineage: Eukaryota; Metazoa; Chordata; Aves; Passeriformes; Paridae. The record is from RNAcentral.
AUGUCGUGGGCAGAGAGGCCCUGGCCAGGCCUGGAUCCUGAGGGGGGGCCCAGAUCCAAGGGGAGCCCAGCUAGGCCCGGCUUUUGGGGGGCCCAGCCAGGCCUGGAUCCAAGGGGAGGCCCCAAAUCCAAGGGAGGCCUGGCUAGGCCCAGAUCCAAGGGGGGCCCAGCUAGGCCUGGCUCUCGGGGGCCCAAAUCCAAGGGAGGCCUUGCUAGGCCUGGCUCUCGGGGGGCCAAAUCCAAGGGGAGUCCAGCUAGGCCCAGAUCCUGAGGGGCCCAAAUCCAAGGGAGGCCUGGCUAGGCCCAGCUCUCGGUGGGCCCAGCUAGGCCUGAAUUCAAGGAGAGGCCCCAAAUCCAAGGGAGGCCCAGCUAGGCCCAGCUCUCGGUGGGCCCUGGCUAGGCCCAGUUCUUGGUGGGCCCAGCUCCUGAGGCGAGCCCAGCCAGGCCCAGGUGCCAGUCCUGCCUAGGCAGGCAGAGCCUCGAGCUCUUUGGGUUUCAGCAGUUUCUUGGCGGCGAUGAUGGUGUUUUUCAUCAGCAUGGCCACGGUCAUGGGCCCCACACCGCCGGGCACCGGGGUGAUGUAACUCGCCUUCUUCCUCA